GACGAACGCUGGCGGCGUGCUUAACACAUGCAAGUCGAACGGAAAGGCCCUGCUUUUGUGGGGUGCUCGAGUGGCGAACGGGUGAGUAACACGUGAGUAACCUGCCCUUGACUUUGGGAUAACUUCAGGAAACUGGGGCUAAUACCGGAUAGGAGCUCCUGCUGCAUGGUGGGGGUUGGAAAGUUUCGGCGGUUGGGGAUGGACUCGCGGCUUAUCAGCUUGUUGGUGGGGUAGUGGCUUACCAAGGCUUUGACGGGUAGCCGGCCUGAGAGGGGGACCGGCGACAUGGGUAAUGAGGGAGGGACCAGACUCGAAGGGGGGGCAGUGGGGGGAAUUCUGAAACAGGGGGGGGGCGCGGGUGACGAAAGCGCGCGGGGGGGAAUGCCGGCUUGUGGGUGGAAAACAGCUUCCGCUUGAAACGAAGCGUGGGGGACGGUAAGGGAUAAAGAAGCACCGGCUAACUUCGUG
RNAcentral lists this ribosomal RNA (468 nucleotides) under uncultured bacterium. RNAcentral's name for it is "partial 16S ribosomal RNA". It matches the Rfam family "Bacterial small subunit ribosomal RNA", at positions 28 to 507 of the family's 1533-position model. The record is from RNAcentral.